Molecule: ribosomal RNA, 460 nt
Filed under: uncultured bacterium
Lineage: Bacteria
Description: partial 16S ribosomal RNA
Rfam family: Bacterial small subunit ribosomal RNA
Source: RNAcentral
CCUACGGGUGGCAGCAGUGAGGAAUAUUGGUCAAUGGACGAGAGUCUGAACCAGCCAAGUAGCGUGAAGGAUGACUGCCCUAUGGGUUGUAAACUUCUUUUAUAAAGGAAUAAAACGAGGCACGUGUGCCUUUUUGCAUGUACUUUAUGAAAAAGCAUCGGCUAACUCCGUGCCAGCAGCCGCGGUAAUACGGAGGAUCCGAGCGUUAUCCGGAUUUAUUGGGUUUAAAGGGAGCGUAGGUGGGUUGUUAAGUCAGUGGUGAAAAUUGGGGGCUCAACCGUAGAAUUGCAGUUGAUACUGGCAGUCUUGAGUGAGGUUGAGGUAGGCGGAAUGCGUGGGGUAGCGGUGAAAUGCAUAGAUAUCACGUAGAACCCCGAUUGCGAAGGCAGCUUACUGGACUUUAACUGACGCUGAUGCACGAAAGUGUGGGUAUCGAACAGGAUUAGAUACCCGGGUAGUC